UACGUAGGCAGCGAGCGUUGUCCGGAGUUACUGGGCGUAAAGAGUGCGUAGGCGGUUUUCUAAGUUUGGUGUGAAAUCUCCCGGCUUAACUGGGAGGGUGCGCCGAAAACUGGAAGGCUUGAGUAUGGGAGAGGUAAGCGGAAUUCCUGGUGUAGCGGUGAAAUGCGUAGAUAUCAGGAGGAACACCUGCGGUGUAGACGGCUUACUGGACCAUAACUGACGCUGAGGCACGAAAGCGUGGGUAGCAAACAGG
RNAcentral lists this ribosomal RNA (253 nucleotides) under uncultured bacterium. Its description in RNAcentral is "partial 16S ribosomal RNA". It matches the Rfam family "Bacterial small subunit ribosomal RNA", at positions 524 to 776 of the family's 1533-position model. The record is from RNAcentral.